This 383-nucleotide ribosomal RNA is filed under the name uncultured eukaryote. Its description in RNAcentral is "partial 18S ribosomal RNA". It matches the Rfam family "Eukaryotic small subunit ribosomal RNA", at positions 592 to 976 of the family's 1831-position model. The record is from RNAcentral.
CAAUAGCGUAUAUUAAAGUUGUUGCAGUUAAAAAGCUCGUAGUUGGAUUUCUGGUGGGAGCGAUCGGUCUGGCGCUUAGCGCGAGUACUUGCAUCGUCUCCGGCCAUCCUUGGGGAGAGUCUGUCUGGCAUUAAGUUGUCGGGCAGAGGAUCCUCAUCGUUUACUGUGAAAAAAUUAGAGUGUUCAAAGCAGGCUUAUGCCGUUGAAUAUAUUAGCAUGGAAUAAUAAGAUAGGACUUUGGUACUAUUUUGUUGGUUUGCGCUCCAAAGUAAUGAUUAAUAGGGACAGUUGGGGGUAUUCGUAUUCCGUUGUCAGAGGUGAAAUUCUUGGAUUUACGGAAGACGAACUACUGCGAAAGCAUUUACCAAGGAUGUUUUCAUUAA